Molecule: transfer RNA, 72 nt
Filed under: Coemansia sp. RSA 2399
Lineage: Eukaryota; Fungi; Kickxellomycota; Kickxellomycetes; Kickxellales; Kickxellaceae
Also listed under: 1 other name
Description: tRNA-Glu
Rfam family: tRNA
About the family: Transfer RNA (tRNA) molecules are approximately 80 nucleotides in length.
Source: RNAcentral
UCCGUAGUGGUCCAGUGGCUAGGAUUCGACGCUCUCACCGUCGCGGCCGGGGUUCGAUUCCCCGCUAUGGAA